Molecule: long non-coding RNA, 553 nt
Organism: Empidonax traillii (willow flycatcher)
Lineage: Eukaryota; Metazoa; Chordata; Aves; Passeriformes; Tyrannidae
Exons: 2
Source: RefSeq, a predicted model, not a curated record
CUCCUACUUACCAGCUGGACAGUUGGUGGCAGGACAUGGCUCAGAGAGGUGCAGACCAUCAAAGGCACCUGUGAAACAGCAGGAAUUCCCAAGGAGGAGGGUCUCCAUAAUUCCUCAGACUUACAGACAGUAGCUGUAGCAGCAGCUUCAUCAGAGGAGUUGUCUAGUGGCUCUUUUCUUCACUGGAGCUGCUGGACUUGUGGCAGCACUGCAGUCCUACAGUGGUUCCUCUUCUUCCAACUCCUCACCCUCCUGAGUUAUCAUUUUUAGAAAAUCCCUCUCAGCAUGAAGCAAUGAAUUAAUGAAGAUCCAUUAACACUGGUCCUGGUCACUGGUUAAUGAUGAACUCUCCUUUGAUUUGCUCCCGGGGAACAUUUCCUGAUGUGUCCCAUAUUUUCACUUUUUGUGAUUGUUUUUCUGUGUGUUAUUUUUUUUUUCUUUCUAAUGAGGUCAGAGAGGUGUCAUCAUAGUUAUAACAAUAACAAAGUCCACAGUGGUUGAGGAAUGUACCAGGACCAGAUCAUUAAUAUUCAGAAACAAAAGGAGGCUUUCU